This 74-nucleotide transfer RNA is filed under the name Thecamonas trahens. RNAcentral describes it as "tRNA-Ala". It matches the Rfam family "tRNA". Rfam says of the family: Transfer RNA (tRNA) molecules are approximately 80 nucleotides in length. Their secondary structure includes four short double-helical elements and three loops (D, anti-codon, and T loops). Lineage: Eukaryota; Apusomonadida; Apusomonadidae. RNAcentral also lists the same sequence under 1 other name. The record is from RNAcentral.
GGGGAUGUAGUUCAAUUGGCUAGAAUGUACGCCUUGCACGCGUUUGGUUACCGGUUCGAGUCCGGUCAUCUCCA